RNAcentral lists this ribosomal RNA (253 nucleotides) under uncultured bacterium. Its description in RNAcentral is "partial 16S ribosomal RNA". It matches the Rfam family "Bacterial small subunit ribosomal RNA", at positions 524 to 776 of the family's 1533-position model. The record is from RNAcentral.
UACGGAGGGGGCUAGCGUUGUUCGGAAUUACUGGGCGUAAAGCGCACGUAGGCGGCUUUGUAAGUUAGAGGUGAAAGCCCGGGGCUCAACUCCGGAAUUGCCUUUAAGACUGCAUCGCUCGAAUUGUGGAGAGGUAAGUGGAAUUCCAGGUGUAGCGGUGAAAUGCGUAGAUAUCUGGAGGAAUACCGGUGGCGAAGGCGGCAUCCUGGACCGGCAUUGACGCUGAGGAGCGAAAGCCAGGGGAGCAAACGGG